GACGAACGCUGGCGGCGUGCUUAACACAUGCAAGUCGAACGGAAAGGCUCUGCUUUUGUGGGGUGCUCGAGUGGCGAAAGGGUUAUUAACACUUGCUUAACCUGCCCUUGACUUUGGGAUAACUUCAGGAUACUGGGGCUAAUACCGGAUAGGCGCUCCUGCUGCAUUGUUGGGGUUGGAACGUUUCGGCGGUUGUGGAUGGACUCGCGGCUUAUCAGCUUGUUGGUGGGGUAGUGGCUUACCAAGGCUUUGACGGGUAGCCGGCCUGAGAGGGUGACCGGCAAAAGUGGGACAGAGAUACGGCACAGACUACUGAGGGAGGCAGCAGUAGGGAAUAUUGAACAAUGGGCGGAAGCCUGAUGCAGGAACGCCGCGUGAGGGAUGACGGACUUCGGGUUGUAGACAGCUUUCGCCUGUGACGAAGCGUGAGUGACGGUAAUGGGUAAAGAAGCACCGGCUAACUACGUG
Molecule: ribosomal RNA, 468 nt
Filed under: uncultured bacterium
Lineage: Bacteria
Description: partial 16S ribosomal RNA
Rfam family: Bacterial small subunit ribosomal RNA
Source: RNAcentral